CCUACGGUGGGCUGCAGUGGGGAAUAUUGGAAAAUGGGCGAAAGCCUGAUCCAGCCAUGCCGCGUGUGUGAAGAAGGCCUUCGGGUUGUAAAGCACUUUCAGUGGGGAAGAAAGCCUUGGGGCUAAUACCCUCGAGGAAGGACAUCACCCACAGAAGAAGCACCGGCUAACUCCGUGCCAGCAGCCGCGGUAAUACGGAGGGUGCGAGCGUUAAUCGGAAUUACUGGGCGUAAAGCGCGCGUAGGCGGUCUGAUAAGCCGGUUGUGAAAGCCCCGGGCUCAACCUGGGAACGGCAUCCGGAACUGUCAGGCUAGAGUGCAGGAGAGGAAGGUAGAAUUCCCGGUGUAGCGGUGAAAUGCGUAGAGAUCGGGAGGAAUACCAGUGGCGAAGGCGGCCUUCUGGACUGACACUGACGCUGAGGUGCGAAAGCGUGGGUAGCAAACAGGAUUAGAUACCCCAGUAGUC
RNAcentral lists this ribosomal RNA (465 nucleotides) under Vreelandella stevensii. Its description in RNAcentral is "partial 16S ribosomal RNA". It matches the Rfam family "Bacterial small subunit ribosomal RNA", at positions 338 to 795 of the family's 1533-position model. Lineage: Bacteria; Pseudomonadati; Pseudomonadota; Gammaproteobacteria; Oceanospirillales; Halomonadaceae. The record is from RNAcentral.